RNAcentral lists this ribosomal RNA (252 nucleotides) under uncultured bacterium. RNAcentral's name for it is "partial 16S ribosomal RNA". It matches the Rfam family "Bacterial small subunit ribosomal RNA", at positions 524 to 776 of the family's 1533-position model. The record is from RNAcentral.
UACGUAGGUCCCGAGCGUUGUCCGGAUUUAUUGGGCGUAAAGCGAGCGCAGGUGGUUUAUUAAGUCUGGUGUAAAAGGCAGUGGCUCAACCAUUGUAAGCAUUGGAAACUGGUAGACUUGAGUGCAGGAGAGGAGAGUGGAAUUCCAUGUGUAGCGGUGAAAUGCGUAAAUAUAUGGAGGAACACCGGUGGCGAAAGCGGCUCUCUGGCCUGUAACUGACACUGAGGCUCGAAAGCGUGGGGAGCAAACAGG